RNAcentral lists this ribosomal RNA (911 nucleotides) under Cobetia sp. RNAcentral describes it as "bacterial SSU rRNA". It matches the Rfam family "Bacterial small subunit ribosomal RNA", at positions 547 to 1463 of the family's 1533-position model. Lineage: Bacteria; Pseudomonadati; Pseudomonadota; Gammaproteobacteria; Oceanospirillales; Halomonadaceae. The record is from RNAcentral.
GAAAUACUGGGCGUAAAGCGCGCGCAGUUGGUCAAGUCAGUCAGGUGUUAUGCCCUGGGCUCACCUCGGAUCGCAUCUAACUGCUGGCUUGAGUGCAGAGAGAGAAAGUAGAAUUCCCCGGGGUAGCGGUGAAAUGGUUAGUGAUCGGAAGGAAUACCAUGGGGGAGGGCGCCCUUUUGGAUUGACACUGACAUUGAGCUGCGAAAGCGUGGGUAGCAACCAGGAUUAGUUACCUUGGUAGUCCACGCCUUAAACGAUAUCAAUUAGCGGUUGGGUCCUUUGUGGCCUUAGUGGCGCAGUUAACGCAAUAAGCAGUCCGCCUGGGGAGUACGGCCGCAAGAUUAAAACUCAAAUGAAUUGACGGGGGCCCGCACAAGCGGUGGAGCAUGUGGUUUAAUUCGAUGCAACGCGAAGAACCUUACCUACCCUUGACAUCCAGAGGACUUUCCAGAGAUGGAUUGGUUCCUUCGGGAAAUAUGAGACAGGUGGUGCAUGGUUGUCGUCAGCUCGUGUUGUGAAAUGUUGGGUUAAGUCCCGUAACGAGCGCAACCCUUAUCUUUAUUUGCCAGCGAGUAAUGUCGGCAAUUUUAAGGAGACUGCCGGUGACAAACCGGGGGAGGGGGGGGAGGAGGUCAAGUCAUCAUGGCCUUUACGGGUAGGGUUACACACGUGUUACAAUGGCAAGUACAAAGGGUUGCAAUACUGGGAAGUGGAGCCAAUCCCAUAAAGCUUGCCUCAGUCCGGAUUGGAGUCUGCAACUCGACUCCAUGAAGUCGGAAUCGCUAGUAAUCGUGGAUCAGAAUGCCACGGUGAAUACGUUCCCGGGCCUUGUACACACCGCCCGUCACACCAUGGGAGUGGAUAGCACCAGAAGUGGUUAGCGUAACCUUAAGGAGGCAGCUCACCAUCGU